This 372-nucleotide ribosomal RNA is filed under the name uncultured organism. RNAcentral describes it as "bacterial SSU rRNA". It matches the Rfam family "Bacterial small subunit ribosomal RNA", at positions 526 to 896 of the family's 1533-position model. The record is from RNAcentral.
CGUAGGGUGCGAGCGUUAAUCGGAAUUACUGGGCGUAAAGCGUGCGCAGGCGGUUGUGUAAGACAGGCGUGAAAUCCCCGGGCUCAACCUGGGAACUGCGCUUGUGACUGCACGGCUAGAGUACGGCAGAGGGGGGUGGAAUUCCACGUGUAGCAGUGGAAUGCGUAGAGAUGUGGAGGAACACCAAUGGCGAAGGCAGCCCCCUGGGUCGAUACUGACGCUCAUGCACGAAAGCGUGGGUAGCAAACAGGAUUAGAUACCCUGGUAGUCCACGCCCUAAACGAUGUCAACUAGGUGUUGGGAGGGUAAAACCUUUUAGUACCGGAGCUAACGCGUGAAGUUGACCGCCUGGGGAGUACGGCCGCAAGGUUA